CUGACCAUCCUAGAAUGAAACAAAAGAACAAGAAACUGAACAUGUUCAUUCAAAGAAGUAACUAAUCAAAUAAAAUGUGAAAAAUACGUACUAGAUAUUUUAAUUGAGAACAGUAGUCAGAAAUUUUCUAUUUCAUUGCUUAAUAGUAGAAGAAAUUAAGGAUCAUCCACAUAAUAGACAGGAAAGUUGAUAAAAGAAAAUUGAAUCCAUAAUUUAUCUGUAAAAUUUAUUACACUCAUAAUAGUCAAUAUCUUGUCAGGAUUAAAACUGUUUUGCAGGUAAUGAGGGAAUGCUUAGUAUGGGAUGAAAUACAGAGGAAGAAAAAAAGUUUAAAAUUAGAAGAAAAAGUUAUACUCUAGAUUGCUAAGUAUGGAUUAGCAUGUAUCCUUUAGAAUGCAUAUCAUUGUACACCUGCUUUUCAUAGAUUCUGACUAUUUCUAAACUUUCAAAAUCAUCUGUUGCCCACCGCACCUAGAGAAAGGUACUGAGUUACAACAGAUGUUUUGAAAAUUACUAAACCAGAUGAUUUACUAUGUAUUUAAAAACUCUAUUGCAUUUUAUCACAGAUAUUUAUUAGAUGUAAUGUGGAGUAGGAU
RNAcentral lists this long non-coding RNA (596 nucleotides) under Gallus gallus (chicken). Lineage: Eukaryota; Metazoa; Chordata; Aves; Galliformes; Phasianidae. The record is from RNAcentral.